UACGAAGGGGGCUAGCGUUGUUCGGAAUCACUGGGCGUAAAGCGCACGCAGGCGGAUUGAUAAGUCAGGGGUGAAAUCCCGGAGCUCAACUUCGGAAUUGCCUUUGAUACUGUCUAUCUUCGAGUUCGGGAGAGGUUGGCGGAAUUCCUAGUGUAGAGGUGAAAUUCGUAGAUAUUAGGAAGAACACCAGUGGCGAAGGCGGCCAACUGGCCCGAUACUGACGCUCAUGUGCGAAAGCGUGGGGAGCAAACAGGAUUAGAUACCCUGGUAGUCCACGCUGUAAACUAUGGAUGCUAGCCGUUGGGGAGCUUGCUCUUCAGUGGCGCAGCUAACGUCUUAAGCAUCCCGCCUGGGGAGUACGGUCGCAAGAUUAAA
This 375-nucleotide ribosomal RNA is filed under the name uncultured bacterium. RNAcentral's name for it is "bacterial SSU rRNA". It matches the Rfam family "Bacterial small subunit ribosomal RNA", at positions 524 to 898 of the family's 1533-position model. The record is from RNAcentral.